RNAcentral lists this ribosomal RNA (279 nucleotides) under uncultured Staphylococcus sp. Its description in RNAcentral is "partial 16S ribosomal RNA". It matches the Rfam family "Bacterial small subunit ribosomal RNA", at positions 83 to 355 of the family's 1533-position model. The record is from RNAcentral. Lineage: Bacteria; Bacillati; Bacillota; Bacilli; Caryophanales; Staphylococcaceae.
CCUUUGACGUUAGCGGCGGACGGGUGAGUAACACGUGGGUAACCUACCUAUAAGACUGGGAUAACUUCGGGAAACCGGAGCUAAUACCGGAUAAUAUUUCGAACCGCAUGGUUCGAUAGUGAAAGGUGGUUUUGCUAUCACUUAUAGAUGGACCCGCGCCGUAUUAGCUAGUUGGUAAGGUAACGGCUUACCAAGGCGACUAUACGUAGCCGACCUGAGAGGGUGAUCGGCCACACUGGAACUGAGACACGGUCCAGACUCCUACGGGAGGCAGCAGUC